RNAcentral lists this long non-coding RNA (719 nucleotides) under Marmota monax (woodchuck). Lineage: Eukaryota; Metazoa; Chordata; Mammalia; Rodentia; Sciuridae. The record is from RNAcentral.
UGCUCUUUAGCUCUUGUUGUGGCUCUGAGGUCAUUUUCUCUGUGCUUUAUUUAUGAUUCCUGUCUUAUUCCAGGUGAUACUGGAAGAAGCUGUUUAGUUUUUUGACCUUGGGAAUCCAUUCUCCUAUGUUUCAGUUGAUCCACCCUGACGUUGUGGAUGCCCUCUUUCCUCCAUGUUACAGGUCUCUAACACUAGGCAUAUUCACAUCCUUUGAUUAACUUAUUUGAGUGGUAUUUAUUGCAAGCUACUCAUGUGCCAGAGGGUUUUCUAGAGCAUGUGUCCCUUGACCCUCUGAGGAACACUGUGGGAUCUACCUAGUUUUCAAAGCAGACUUGACAUGCCUUAUAAUCUCAUGGCUUCCCCUCUUCCCAUGUCUCAAAGAGACUAUUAUUUCAGAUUCUUAUGCCAGAUAUGCAUCACACAUACAUGAAUGAGUUCCACCAAGGGGAGAAGAGGGACAUUACCUCUCGGUUCAAAUCCAUACCAGAAUAAAAUAAUGUAAGACCCUCUCUUGCACUGAAAAUUUUAACAGGCUUUAAAGCACAGCUCUGAAGUGAUUUUGUAGCAGAUGACACAAAAGCUCUUCAGAGUUUCAUAGCCUCACUGUCUUGAAGGAAAGUAAAUUUUGUUUUAAACUCAGAUCAAAACUGAAUAUGGAAUUUAAAAGGCAAGGUGGCUUUGAAGUUGAAUACAUAAGGUGGGCUUCAAUUAAAAUCUGG